AGGGGGCAAGCGUUAUCCGGACUUACUGGGCGUAAAGGGAGCGUAGACGGCCGUGCAAGCCAGAUGUGAAAGCCCGGGGCUCAACCCCGGGACUGCAUUUGGAACUGCGUGGCUUGAGUGUCGGAGAGGCAGGCGGAAUUCCUAGUGUAGCGGUGAAAUGCGUAGAUAUUAGGAGGAACACCAGUGGCGAAGGCGGCCUGCUGGACGAUGACUGACGUUGAGGCUCGAAAGCGUGGGGAGCA
Molecule: ribosomal RNA, 242 nt
Filed under: uncultured bacterium
Lineage: Bacteria
Description: partial 16S ribosomal RNA
Rfam family: Bacterial small subunit ribosomal RNA
Source: RNAcentral